AAACCCAAUUAUAUUCCUAGCCACUAUAACCAUUCAAUCUCUUAGGCCCUAUAUACUUGGUUUUAGGUUGGGGCGACCACGGAGUAAAACCAAACCUCCAUGAUGUACGGAACAACCUCCUCAUCUAAGAGCUACAGCUCUAAGAAUUAGCACACUAUCAUAAAAUGACCCAUUAUUGAUCAACGAACCAAGUUACCCUGGGGAUAACAGCGCAAUCCAUUUUAAGAGCCCCUAUCGACA
RNAcentral lists this ribosomal RNA (240 nucleotides) under Mantidactylus femoralis. Its description in RNAcentral is "partial 16S ribosomal RNA". The record is from RNAcentral. Lineage: Eukaryota; Metazoa; Chordata; Amphibia; Anura; Mantellidae.